This 500-nucleotide ribosomal RNA is filed under the name uncultured Glomeromycotina. Its description in RNAcentral is "partial small subunit ribosomal RNA". It matches the Rfam family "Eukaryotic small subunit ribosomal RNA", at positions 591 to 1092 of the family's 1831-position model. Lineage: Eukaryota; Fungi; Glomeromycota. The record is from RNAcentral.
CCAAUCGCGUAUAUUAAAGUUGUUGCAGUUAAAAAGCUCGUCGUUGAAUUUCGGGAUCAAUAUGUUGGUCGUGCCAUUGGUACGUACUGGCAUUAUUGGUUUCUACCUUCUGAAGAACCUCGAUGUCAUUAAUUUGGUGUCUUGGGGAAUCAGGACUGUUACUUUGAAAAAAUUAGAGUGUUUAAAGCAGGCUCGCGCUUGAAUACAUUAGCAUGGAAUAAUGAAAUAGGACGUUUGAUUCUAUUUUGUUGGUUUCUAGGAUCGACGUAAUGAUUAAUAGGGAUAGUUGGGGGCAUUAGUAUUCAAUUGUCAGAGGUGAAAUUCUUGGAUUUAUUGAAGACUAACUACUGCGAAAGCAUUUGCCAAGGAUGUUUUCAUUAAUCAAGAACGAAAGUUAGGGGAUCGAAGACGAUCAGAUACCGUCGUAGUCUUAACCAUAAACUAUGCCGACUAGGGAUCGGAUGAUGUUGAUUUUUUAAUGACUCAUUCGGCGCCUUACG